Molecule: long non-coding RNA, 1539 nt
Organism: Lutra lutra (Eurasian river otter)
Lineage: Eukaryota; Metazoa; Chordata; Mammalia; Carnivora; Mustelidae
Exons: 3
Source: RefSeq, a predicted model, not a curated record
CCAUGAUGACUUUGGCCAUUGAUAACAAGAUAAUACCUUAACCCAGCAAUUCGUCAUCAUAUCAGGCACCUUGAAGACUUGGAAAGGGGCUUUCCUUCCCUGGGGUGCCUACUCCAGAGGGAGACCUAUGUGUCAUGUUUAAAGUUUGCUUUCCAGACCUAUUUCCACCACAGACAUGGCAGAUUCUGAAGCGAAUUUACCCUAAGCUUAGGUUGUACUCUGAGCCAGCCCAGGAUCCAACACAGCAAUAUAAUAUUCCCUACCAUACAAAGCCCACCUCGUGUGUACAUAGCUCCGGGUUCAGUGAUACUGGAGACGAUGUCUAAAAUGCAAAAAGCCACAGUUUUCAGGAAAAAUGUCCUGUCCCUCACCUACUUCAGAGCUGGCUCUCUUGCUAUGUGGAUGGGGAAGUAGAGAUGAGGUAGGGAGAGCUGGCCCAGGCCCCGACUCAGCUUUUGCGUCAAGCUUGGAAUCCAUUUCACACUUCAGUGGUGGAAAGGGACCUGAGUGUUGCGUGGCAAUACGUACAAAUUGCUUUUCUAGGUCUUCUUUUGCUUCCCAGACUAUUCUCCCUUUCUUUGUCUUCUUCCUGACAAGAAAGAGGAAGGGAGACAAUAGAUACGGCUUCACUAUUCUCAUUCUGCUUUGAGCACACAGAAUCCUGCAGUCAGGUGACCGGCACUACUAUACGUACACACCCAUGCACCUAUAUGUCUCUCACAGCUCGCCUCGCCUUCUGUGGGGUGAGAGAGGAAGGGAAGUUCUUUGACCUAUGAAGAAAAGGCCAUUGAGGAAGAGUCACCUUUCCUUUGAUCCAGGAGGGUGAACAAGACCCAGCAGCCUGUCUGCUGCCUACUCCUCUGUCUACAUCCGUCCAGGCUGGCAGGGUGAGCAAAGCCAAAGUAAACUUCCUUCCCAGCCUCCGGUCACCUCUGCGAAGCCACAGCAGGCCCUCCUUCCUUCCUCCAAGCCCAGACUUUGGAGAUUCGCUAAACGAUACUCCAAACAUGGCCCAACAGAAGGGAGCUCUUUGGUAUUAGAAGAACAAAUAUGUUUGGAAAGAAUAACACCUUUGGCUGUGAGAAACCGAACAGAGACCGUCCUUUUCAGAGGACAUUCCUUUCAUGCGGGCUGAUUAAUUUUCUCUAAUUGUGCAGAAACCGUCCUUUACUUUUGUUUAAAAGCACUUCUUUCGUAAAAAUUUUCAUUCCCAGAAGAGAUGGAAGACUAUCUUGCUGGCUUGAUGGAAUGCAUCCUUAAAGACAAGCCAGGGACCGUGGAGAGGGUAGCCUGAGGAACAUGGCCUCCUUCCCCCAUGCUGCCAGAGUUUUUGCUGGUAGCAUAAUUUCUACCUGAAAUGUACUCCACUUCCGUAUCCCAACCUUUCAUGACCAUCACAAAGUCAAGUUUUCCUCAUCCUUUCUACUUCAUGUAAUUCCCAUCUUUGGACCUCCAUUGUGAAUGCUGCUCUGUUCUUCAGCCAGUUGCUUCUCAGCCGGGUGGUUGUUGCCACCCGGUGGGCUCCCUGGGCUGUCUUCC